Molecule: transfer RNA, 72 nt
Filed under: Bos taurus (domestic cattle)
Lineage: Eukaryota; Metazoa; Chordata; Mammalia; Artiodactyla; Bovidae
Also listed under: 2 other names
Rfam family: tRNA
About the family: Transfer RNA (tRNA) molecules are approximately 80 nucleotides in length. Their secondary structure includes four short double-helical elements and three loops (D, anti-codon, and T loops). Further hydrogen bonds mediate the characteristic L-shaped molecular structure. tRNAs have two regions of fundamental functional importance: the anti-codon, which is responsible for specific mRNA codon recognition, and the 3' end, to which the tRNAs corresponding amino acid is attached (by aminoacyl-tRNA synthetases). tRNAs cope with the degeneracy of the genetic code in two manners: having more than one tRNA (with a specific anti-codon) for a particular amino acid; and 'wobble' base-pairing, i.e. permitting non-standard base-pairing at the 3rd anti-codon position.
Source: Rfam by way of RNAcentral
UCCCUGGUGGCUCAGAGGUUAAAGUGUCCGCCUGCAAUGCGGGAGACCUGGGUUGGAUCCCUGGGUUGGGAA